This 23-nucleotide small nuclear RNA is filed under the name Arabidopsis thaliana (thale cress). Its description in RNAcentral is "snRNA_15823". The record is from RNAcentral. Lineage: Eukaryota; Viridiplantae; Streptophyta; Magnoliopsida; Brassicales; Brassicaceae.
AGUAAAUGGUUGUUGUCAUAAAG